CACAAAUCUAGCCGUCAACCUCCUCAUUGCUCCCAUUCCAAGUCCAAAUCCAUCUCCUAUCCCAUUCGUCGAUCCUGGAGCGAAGGCUGCUUGUCUCUCGUCCUUGCCUCUGCUUCCUCUUCACCUUCCUCCUCCCCUGUCGUCGGUAAGACCUCUCAACCUGGUGCUCCUUUGAGCGAGGACGAUGAUGACGACUCUCCUAUUCUCUUUGCCAGGCCGAAUUGAGAGUUCGAUCCUUUCUUCCUUCUUCUUCUUCUUCUUUCAUGUUUUCGACAAUUUUCCUGCCUUAGGAUUUGAAUAACUGUGAACCAGAUGAGAUGAUUUGUUAUACUUGUGAUUUUUAUUAUCUUGAGUUUUUGCGAUCUGAAAAGAAAAAUAUUGGAUCCGUUCUUGUUUUCGAGUCAUGUUUUUUACUUGCAUCUUGUCGUCAAAUAGAUGGCGAGAUUUGGAAAUUAAUCUUCUCUUUGUUUGGAGGAGGAGAAGUAACUGUUGAUGGUUAAGGUACUUGAUCUUGCGUUUUAAAUUUAGC
This 529-nucleotide long non-coding RNA is filed under the name Cucumis sativus (cucumber). RNAcentral's name for it is "long non-coding RNA (CSAT_LNC000492)". The record is from RNAcentral. Lineage: Eukaryota; Viridiplantae; Streptophyta; Magnoliopsida; Cucurbitales; Cucurbitaceae.